This 618-nucleotide long non-coding RNA is filed under the name Zonotrichia albicollis (white-throated sparrow). Its description in RNAcentral is "lncRNA (ENSZALG00000018251.1)". Lineage: Eukaryota; Metazoa; Chordata; Aves; Passeriformes; Passerellidae. The record is from RNAcentral.
AGUAACCUUUCUAAGAAGGAGGCGGCAGCCAAUAGAACCUUUCUUUCUUUUUUCUUUUUUUUUUUUUCCUCUCCCCACUUCUUACUAGAGAAAUUCGUGUUACCUCAGCAAUUAAGGAGAAGAGCCAGCAUCUAGGGUUCCAGGCUCUGAGGGGGAGUAGCAACUUGUACCAGUGUCAAUCAGACUGGUACAAAUCUCUUGGAGAAGACAGACAUCAUUCAAGAGAAGGAGUAAAGCAGCAAUACCUGCCAGGACCUUCAGCUGAGCUUGCAGGAGAUGCAGAGAGGCUUCACUGAGUCUUCACAAAGGGAAGAAAUUUCAAAUUAAUAAUUAGGAUUUGAGGUUCCAAUUAAAUCCGUGUUUGGGCCAUUGCUUUGCCUGCCAGUGCUUAAUCUUUUUCGAAGGCCUCAUCACUUAUCUAAAACAAAAGAACAAGGUAAGGAGAAAAAGUAAUGAAAUGCAGUAUAGCACAUCUGUCAAAGGAAUGGAAAGUAGCUUUAAAAAAAUUCAGGAUCAAUGACGUUAAAAAAUUAUUUGUUGAGCACUAAAUGUGAUCAUGUUAGGCAUGUUAAUUGUAAAGCAUCUGUAAGUACCAGCAUGUUCUUGCAUGCAUUGAGG